Molecule: unclassified non-coding RNA, 347 nt
Filed under: soil metagenome
Description: partial contains 5.8S ribosomal RNA, internal transcribed spacer 2, and large subunit ribosomal RNA
Rfam family: 5.8S ribosomal RNA (bases 1-119)
Source: RNAcentral
GAUGAAGAACGCAGCGAAAUGCGAUAAGUAAUGUGAAUUGCAGAAUUCAGUGAAUCAUCGAAUCUUUGAACGCACAUUGCGCCCGCCAGUAUUCUGGCGGCAUGCCUGUCUGAGCGUCAUUUCAACCCUCAUGCCCCUAGGGCGUGGUGUUGGGGAUCGGCCAAAGCCCGCGAGGGACGGCCGGCCCCUAAAUCUAGUGGCGGACCCGUCGUGGCCUCCUCUGCGAAGUAGUGAUAUUCCGCAUCGGAGAGCGAUGAGCCCCUGCCGUUAAACCCCCAACUUUCCAAGGUUGACCUCAGAUCAGGUAGGAAUACCCGCUGAACUUAAGCAUAUCAAUAAGCGGAGGA